This 499-nucleotide ribosomal RNA is filed under the name uncultured bacterium. Its description in RNAcentral is "partial 16S ribosomal RNA". It matches the Rfam family "Bacterial small subunit ribosomal RNA", at positions 29 to 523 of the family's 1533-position model. The record is from RNAcentral.
AACGAACGCUGGCGGUAUGCUUAACACAUGCAAGUCGAACGAUGAGAAAGAGCUUGCUCUUUCGAUUAGUGGCGGACGGGUGCGUAACGCGUAGGAAUCUACCUAUUAGUGGGGGACAACUUAGGGAAACUUAAGCUAAUACCGCAUACGCCCUACGGGGGAAAGAAGGGGAUCGCAAGACCUUUUGCUAAUAGAUGAGCCUGCGUAGGAUUAGCUAGUUGGUGGGGUAAAAGCUCACCAAGGCGACGAUCCUUAACUGGUUUGAGAGAAUGGUCAGUCACAGUGGAACUGAGACACGGUCCAGACUCCUACGGGAGGCAGCAGUGGGGAAUAUUGGACAAUGGGCGAAAGCCUGAUCCAGCAAUACCGCGUGUGUGAAGAAGGCCUUAGGGUUGUAAAGCACUUUCAAUUGGAAGGAAAACCUCGAAGCUAAUACCUUCGAGUUUGACAUUACCUUUAGAAGAAGCACCGGCUAACUCCGUGCCAGCCGCCGCCGUAA